This 426-nucleotide ribosomal RNA is filed under the name Metschnikowia bowlesiae. Its description in RNAcentral is "LSU rRNA". It matches the Rfam family "Eukaryotic large subunit ribosomal RNA", at positions 22 to 470 of the family's 3401-position model. The record is from RNAcentral. Lineage: Eukaryota; Fungi; Ascomycota; Pichiomycetes; Serinales; Metschnikowiaceae.
UACCCGCUGAACUUAAGCAUAUCAAUAAGCGGAGGAAAAGAAACCAACAGGGAUUACCUUAGUAACGGCGAGUGAAGCGGUAAAAGCUCAAAUUUGAAAUCUUCGGAAUUGUAAUUUGACGGGUAGAAUUUGUUUUUUAAAGAAAGUUCACUGGAAUGUGACGCCACAGAGGGUGAUAGCCCCGUUAACUAAAGAAACUACUUAAUUCUAUUCCUAAGAGUCGGGUUGUUUGGGAAUGCAGCUCAAAGUGGGUGGUAAAUUCCAUCUAAAGCUAAAUAUUGGCGAGAGACCGAUAGCGAACAAGUACAGUGAUGGAAAGAUGAAAAGAACUUUGAAAAGAGAGUGAAAUAGUACGUGAAAUUGUUGAAAGGGAAGGGAAAGGGGGAGAUAAUUCAAGCUAAUACUUCGGUGUUGCUUGACCACAUC